GAUGAACGCUGGCGGCGUGCCUAAUACAUGCAAGUCGAGCGAACGGACGAGAAGCUUGCUUCUCUGAUGUUAGCGGCGGACGGGUGAGUAACACGUGGAUAACCUACCUAUAAGACUGGGAUAACUUCGGGAAACCGGAGCUAAUACCGGAUAAUAUUUUGAACCGCAUGGUUCAAAAGUGAAAGACGGUCUUGCUGUCACUUAUAGAUGGAUCCGCGCUGCAUUAGCUAGUUGGUAAGGUAACGGCUUACCAAGGCAACGAUGCAUAGCCGACCUGAGAGGGUGAUCGGCCACACUGGAACUGAGACACGGUCCAGACUCCUACGGGAGGCAGCAGUAGGGUAUCUUCCGCAAUGGGCGAAAGCCUGACGGAGCAACGCCGCGUGAGUGAUGAAGGUCUUCGGAUCGUAAAACUCUGUUAUUAGGGAAGAACAUAUGUGUAAGUAACUGUGCACAUCUUGACGGUACCUAAUCAGAAAGCCACGGCUAACUACGAG
This 497-nucleotide ribosomal RNA is filed under the name uncultured bacterium. RNAcentral describes it as "partial 16S ribosomal RNA". It matches the Rfam family "Bacterial small subunit ribosomal RNA", at positions 28 to 507 of the family's 1533-position model. The record is from RNAcentral.